GUAGGUCCACCUUUGUGUGACCAGGGCCAGAGAAGCCUCCCUUGGCUGCAGGGAACCCCAGUGAAAGACCAGGUCACGGCCCCAUCCCACCCCUCCUCAUAUCACAGGACCUAUCCAGGAGAUAAGGAGCCCUAGUGGUGAAACGGUUAAGCGCUAGGCUGAUAACCAAAAUGUCGUCUGUUCAAACCGACCAGUUGCUUAGCGAGACAGAAGACCUGGAGAUCUGCUUCCAUAAUGAUUUCAGCCUAGGAAACCCUGUGUAGCAGUUCUACUCUGUCGUGUAGUCAUUAUGAGUUGGAAUUGACUCUAUGGCACACACACCAGGAGAUACAGCGAGCAGGGCUCAAAACAAUGCCCGAAAAGCUUGUGCUUUAUGGCAGUGUUGCUUCACAAAUGCCAAACAUCCCUUCUUGUUGGCCUCUUCCUCCGUCCUUUCUUCAUUUAAAAAUGACAAGGUAGGCUCCAGAGCCCUUCAGACUUCCCAAAUGUUCCGAUUAGGGUUCACUGCACAGGGGUACUAGGGAAAAUAUUUUCCCUUUUUUUCCUGAGUUUUUGCUUGAGUGGGAAUCGACUCAAUGGCAACAAGUUUGGUUUUUUUCUGUCUUAUAAGUAUAUGUGUACAUGCAUGUUUAUCUAUUGCUAAACUAUGCCUGUAAGACUUUGUCUCAGAAUUCCAUGUUAACAGAUACCCAUUCUUUUGGUCACAGGUGUAGAUACAUAGGUCUUCUUGGGUAGGAUUUUUUAGCUUUUACGGGAAAUCCACUCAUGGCUUGACUCAAGAUAAAUAUCUUGAUUUCUCCCUUUUCAUUGCCUCAUUGGCUUUUCUGGACUUACAGGCUACCUCAUACAGGUCAAGGACUCAGGAGUUUACCCCAAGGAAGAGAGUAGGCCAUUUUGGCGUCAGAAAUAAUUAACAGUGGCAGGUCAGAAGGAGCCUGGUGGCAUGCUUGGCUGCUAACUGAAAUGUCGGCAGUUCAAACCCACCAGCUGCUCCGUGGCUGAAAGAUGUAGGCAGUCUGCUUCUGUAAUGAUUACAACCUUGGAAACCCUAUCGGUCAGUCCUACUCUGUCCUAUAGGAUCACUGAGUUGGAAUCUACUGGAUGGCAAUGGGUUUUCUGUUCGGGGUUUUUGUUGUUGUUGUUGUUGUUUUGUGGCAGGUAAGAAGAUAGUGAGGUUGAUGUCUUGGCUGACCUUCGUGGGACCCAGGUAGUUACUGCCCAGUUGGUGCCCCAGAUUGGAGAUCCACUGGUCAGAGGGAAUCCACAAUGGUGCCACAUAGGCAGGUAACCACCGAGAGUAUCAUUUUUUCGGUCUCUACUGUAAAGCUCAAGUGCUACGGCUCUUAACCAAGAGGUCGGCAGUUCAAAUCCGCCAGGCGCUCCUUGGAAACUCUACGGGGCAGUUCUACUCUGUCCGAUAGGGUUGCAAUGAGUUGGAACUGACUCAACGGCAGUGGGUUUGUUUUUUUUGUUUUUUUUUGGUUUGGUUUACUGUAAAGCUCUACGUGAAGGACUGGCUGCCUUAAACACUCACAGCUCUCUGCAUACGUACACACACAUACAGUAUUGUUUUGUUUUCAACUGCCACGGAUGUGCCACUGUGGAUAAAGCCUCAUCCCAUUCAAAGAAAACAUCCAUUACCAUUGUUCUAGAACUACUACCAAGCCUGUUCCUCUCCCUUCCACCCCUUGUACCAAUCCUCCUUAUAGUAGGAAACAAAUUCAAUUUUUCCUUGCGUAUGGCUCAGCUUUCCGUGGGGUUUACAAGGCAAUCCAAACCCUAAACAAGAAUCAUGGACUUCGAUACCAACAGUGCACACUUCCAUGGGAGCAUGGCUACCUGGGAGAGCAGCUGUGUACUUCGCUGGGUAUGAAGGGUGCCUAGUUUCAGCUCCGUUGUAAUAAUCACUAGACCAGCAUUGUCACCAGAGUCUACCUUUAUGUGCAAAUGGAAACCCAUUUGUGCUUGUUCUGUAGAAACGGAGACUGUGGCCGCACUGUUGCCAUAGGAGAUUAGUAGCAAUGUCUGACUUCUGAAAGAAUGCGUGUUACCGGGUCAGCGGAACCUGGAAACAGAGCCAGGAAGAAACCAGGUCUCUCUCACAUUUCAUCCGCACGAAGAGAAAUGGAUUUAACCUGUCAGUCCUGAGGAGGAGGUGUUCUAGGAUUGUUCAUUUCAGUUCUUCACCUUGCCAAACUCCAGAGAUUUUUUUUUGUCCCCGUGAGGACAUUUUCUUUGGCUUUCAGUUAGGGAAGACCACAUUUCCGGAUUCUCUGAAACAUGGCGGCCACCUGAAACAUGGCGGCCACCGAGGCUUCGUCCCUCAGUUCCCUGAGCCAGGCAGGCCUGGCAGCCUGGGGCUCCUGUGUCACCAAACCUGGCCUUGGUGCUUUCACACCCACCCGGGAGGUGGCCAGAUGAGUUCCGUGAGCCCUGUGAGCGCCCCCAUCCCACCCCUUCCUCAUAUCACAGACCUUUUCAAGCAGAUAACAGCUAGCAAGCUUUGAGACCGUGCUCAAAAAUCGUCCGCUUGAUGGCAAUGUUGCUCCACAAAUGCCAAACGCUCCUGCUCCAGCGCCUCUCCCACCGCCCUUUCUGAACCAAAAAACACUAACGACAGCCCAGGAGCCCUCCAGGCUUCCUAAGAGGGUUUACUGCAUUGGGACAUUAGGGUAAGUGUUUUCUUUUUAGAUUAUUUGCUUGGAAUAUAUAUUUAGAUACAUACGUGUUUAUAUGUGUAUAUAUACAUACGUGUAUAACUUGUAUAUACGAUUAUCAGUAAAAUUCCUUGUGUACAUAAUUGCUUAAAUACCUGUUCCCACAUCGAUUUCUUUAGACUUCUAAGUCAAUUCCAUGUUUGUUUGUUUGUUUUUAUAAUUGCUUAAAUAACUGUUCCCACAUCGAUUCGUUUAGACUUCUAAGUCAAUUCCAUGUCAACAGGUACCCAGCUUUUUGUGCACAGGUACAGAUAUACGGGUCUUCUUGAGUACUAUUUUAGCUUUCACAUGAUAUUGACCCAUGCCUUAGGUUGUGAUGAGUACCUUGAUUUCCUCUCUUAUCGUUGGCUCAUUGGCUUUUCUGAACCCAUUAAGCUACCUCCUCCAGGUGAAGGACUCAGGAGCCCAGCCCCAGAAAGAGAAUAGGCCAUUGUGGCAUCGGGAGUAAUGACCAGUGACCAUGGCAGGUCAGAAGGCACUGAGGAUGGUGCUCCGGCCACCUUCAGGGGACCCAGGUAGUAGGUAGUCCAUCACCAUUUGGUGUCCAAGUGGGGAGGUCCAUCCGGUGGAAGUACAGGCCAUGGUUCCACAGGGGCAGGUGACCUCUGUGAGGGCCACUUAUUUUACAGUCUCUGCUGUAAAACUCUGGUCUCUGCAUGAUGCAAAUGGUUAAGCCCUGGACGCUUGGCUGGAAGGUUGAUGCUUGGAACCCACACAGAGGCUCCUGCUAAGACAGGCUCGGUGACCUGCCUCCAAAAGUUCGGAGCCUUGAAAACCAUAUGCAGUAGCUGUACUCUGCACACAUGGGAUCGCCAGGAGUCGGAAUCGACUUGAUGGCAACUAACAACAUCAACAACUUUAAAAACCCUACAUGACGAUUUAGCCACAUCAUACACUCACGGCCUCCCACACACACUCGCAUACGUGCACACAAAUAGUCGCACGCGUAUUCCUUUAGAGAGGGAGAGAAAGUUUGGUUUUGACUUUUUCUACCACGGACAUGCCACUUUGGAUACAGCCUCAUCAAGUUCAAAUAAAACAUACGUUACCAUUGCAUUAGGACCACUUCCGUUCCUGGUCCUCUGUCUCCUUUCAUCCCUCAUCCCAACCUUCCUUAUAGUGUGAAGCAUGUUUAAUUUUUCAUUGUGUUUGCUUUCGAUGUUUAAUUCUCGUGAAGGCAAAUAAGAUUCAUGUUUGUUUUUCACCAGUUCAUCUACACCAGAAGGUAGCAUAAGCAAUAUAUUCUUCUUUGUCACUGCUUUCAUGGAAUAUACGGCCUGGCCUUUGCACAUCUGUGCAGAGAAAAUGUCCUGCUAGAUAGUUUUCAUUUCCUUUCUAAGAACUACUUAGUGGUUCCCUGUUUGAAGGUGGGUAGGGUCGGAGGUGAUUUAUCCAGGGCUUCUCCUCUGACACUCUGACACUAGGUUUAGUAUAACUUUUCUUCCUACCUUCCUUCAUUUCUUCCUUCUAUUUUUCCUCUAUCCCUUCUCCCUGUCUCUUGCCCUUUCCCCCUCUGUGUCUUUCCUCCUUUAAGAACCGCCCCCCCCCCGAGGCAGAGUAUAACCUCAUGAUAGUGUAAGUGCGUGUGCGCAUACAUGUUAUAUUGUAAAUGUCAACCCAGAGGUGAGUGGUUGGAUGAAGGAUAAUAGGGCCUCCCCCUAGAAUAAAUAACUUUAUUCCCCAAAAGAUACCGUGGUUGGUAUGUGUGAGGCCAUAAGGGAGAGACCUGGUUGCCAUACAUCAGGGAGUCAAAGGGCCUGAUGAUCUGUGGAAGGGCUGGUGUUCCAGUUGUGGUGGAGGAAACGGGCUGCUGAGUAUGUUCGUCUGUGCUCUGGCACGUUCACAAACGCAAAGUGCAGGAGGAGAGAUCUGUAGUUACACAGGUCAAAGUGAACACUGUGCUUCCCACAGAAAAGAGAUUUCCGGGCCAGGUACCUGCAGAUUUCACAGGAGCUGGUUCUGUAAGAUCCGAUUCUCUCCAACACCCUGAAUUAUGUUUGUGUAAUUUGCCAAAGAGGAACACAGUUGAAAUUCAUAUCACGAUUUAUUAAGUAACUGUUGUUUUUCCUAUAUGUCAUCUAAUAGCAUUAAAAAAAAAAAACAACCAAAUCUGUAUAUAUUUUCAGCUGAGUAUACAGUAAGUGUAUCGACUGGUUUGGGUGUAGAUGGACACCAGUUCACCGUCACUCUGGCGAUCCCGAAUGAAGUCAAUUAUAUUUGGGCCUCUUGGUGCGGAGGACUCAGACUAGAAAAUACGACAAGACAAAGAACUCUGAUCACCUGUAGGCUGCGGUGUUCUGGCUGAGUAUACAGUAAGUGUAUCGACUGGUUUGGGUGUAGAUGGACACCAGUUCACCGUCACUCUGGCGAUCCCGAAUGAAGUCAAUUAUAUUUGGGCCUCUUGGUGCGGAGGACUCAGACUAGAAAAUACGACAAGACAAAGAACUCUGAUCACCUGUAGGCUGCGGUGUUCUGGCUGAGUAUACAGUAAGUGUAUCGACUGGUUUGGGUGUAGAUGGACACCAGUUCACCGUCACUCUGGCGAUCCCGAAUGAAGUCAAUUAUAUUUGGGCCUCUUGGUGCGGAGGACUCAGACUAGAAAAUACGACAAGACAAAGAACUCUGAUCACCUGUAGGCUGCGGUGUUCUGGUAGCAAAGGGCGGAGUGUGAAGGCUUGUGGGACGACCGGACAAGUAUUUGUUGUCCAAUACUGCCAUCAAGUGGAUUUUGUUUCCGAAGACCAUGGACCCAACAUUAUUGCUUCCUGAUGAGGCCUGGGAUUGGAGGAAGCCAGGGUCCUACGCAUAACUAAAAGCAGGGUCCUGCAUGUCCGCAGCUCCCUGAGUCACGGGGCAAGUGAUGUCUGAGGCAGGAGGUUACCCAAGAAGCUUAGGAGGUGGGCCAGGACAACGUAGACAGCCCUGGCGCCAGUCAUAUCGGGCACGGGAAUCCAAGGUUCAGGUUGCCGCCAUGUCUGGGUGGGACUAGAGUAAGACCUUGGGAAGGUAGCACAGCACUGGGGUGUAGGCAAUUUGCCUCAUAACCCUGGCUCCAGAAGCAGAAGGUGGGUAAACCUUCCUGGGACCAGGGCCACAGGGGCCUCCCUUGGCUGCAGCAAACUCCGUGUCCCCAGCCCACCUCACCCCUCCUCAUAUCACAGGACUUGUCCAGGAGAUAGGAGACCCGGUCCUGCUCUGGUUAAGAGCUCGGCUGUUAGCCAAAACAUUAGCAGUUUGAAUCCAUCAUCCCCUCCCUGGAGUCCCUACGGGCGAGUUCUACUCUCUUCUAGGGUCGCUAUGAGUCGGAACCCACUAGAGGGCCAUAGGCUUCUCAGACUUUCCAAAACAGGAACAAAGCUGAAAUUCGUAUCGAACUGGCUUUUCAGAAAGGUAUAAGAAAGCUCCAGUUGGAAUGGUCCUUGCGGGCAGUCGGGGGCUAGGUGGCUGGAACUCCGUAAAGGAACGCAGACCCUUGCUGGAGGUCUCAGUUAAGCUGGAGUGCUAAGGAUGCAGAUAUGGUUGGUUUUAGGUCUGUUCACCCACAAGACGCCUGGGUGGGGAGGAAUUCCUUCUAGUCUAGAAAAAAAGGUGAUCUUACACCCCCUUUCAGAGGCAAGGGCUUACAAGACUGAGUCCGAGACAGUGGAGCUGGAGCCCCAAAAGUGGACCUGACGGUGAGGCACCACACUUUAGGGAAGCUGGAUAGUGGUUAAUGUUUUUUUGUUUGUUUGUUUGUUUGUUUUUUCCAGUACCGAAGGGCUGAGGUGGAUGCGUUGGGGCGGG
Loxodonta africana (African savanna elephant) is the source of this 6500-nucleotide long non-coding RNA. RefSeq lists it as uncharacterized. NCBI's taxonomy places the organism in Eukaryota, Metazoa, Chordata, Mammalia, Proboscidea, Elephantidae. The record is from RefSeq and is a predicted model, not a curated record. The transcript has 4 exons.